GUCUACAGCCAUACCAUCCGGAACGCGCCCCAUCUCAUCUGAUCUCAGAAGCUAAGCAGGGUCGGGCCCGGUUAGUACUUGGAUGGACUGGUCAAGUUUGAGAGGCUGAUGAGAUGUGUCAAGGAAGCUGUUGGGU
Ribosomal RNA from Panthera pardus (leopard), 136 nucleotides. The record is from Ensembl. Lineage: Eukaryota; Metazoa; Chordata; Mammalia; Carnivora; Felidae.